CAGCCGCCGCGGGAAUACGUAGGGUGCAAGCGUUAAUCGGAAUUACUGGGCGUAAAGCGUGCGCAGGCGGUGUUGUAAGACUGAUGUGAAAUCCCCGGGCUCAACCUGGGAACUGCAUUGGUGACUGCAACGCUGGAGUGCGGCAGAGGGGGAUGGAAUUCCGCGUGUAGCAGUGAAAUGCGUAGAUAUGCGGAGGAACACCGAUGGCGAAGGCAAUCCCCUGGGCCUGCACUGACGCUCAUGCACGAAAGCGUGGGGAGCAAACAGGAUUAGAUACCCCCGUAGUCCCUGUCUCUUAUAA
Molecule: ribosomal RNA, 301 nt
Filed under: uncultured bacterium
Lineage: Bacteria
Description: partial 16S ribosomal RNA
Rfam family: Bacterial small subunit ribosomal RNA
Source: RNAcentral